CACAGAUCCCUACGCCCGGCACCCCCUCGCCCAGAGACCUCCCCACAGAUCCCUACGCCCGGCGCCCCCUCGCCCAGAGACCUCCCCACAGACCUCCCCACAGAUCCCUACGCCCGGCGCCCCCUCGCCCAGAGACCUCCCCACAGAUCCCUACGCCCGGCGCCCCCUCGCCCAGAGACCUCCCCACAGACCUCCCCACAGAUCCCUACGCCCGGCGCCCCCUCGCCCAGAGACCUCUCCACAGAUCCCUACGCCCAGCGCCCCCUCGCCCAGAGACCUCCC
Gopherus flavomarginatus (Mexican gopher tortoise) is the source of this 282-nucleotide long non-coding RNA. RefSeq lists it as uncharacterized. The transcript is spliced from 3 exons. The record is from RefSeq and is a predicted model, not a curated record. NCBI's taxonomy places the organism in Eukaryota, Metazoa, Chordata, Testudines, Testudinidae.